GUGGGGAAUAUUGGGCAAUGGGCGCAAGCCUGACCCAGCAACGCCGCGUGAAGGAAGAAGGCUUUCGGGUUGUAAACUUCUUUUACCAGGGACGAAACAAAUGACGGUACCUGGUGAAUAAGCCACGGCUAACUACGUGCCAGCAGCCGCGGUAAUACGUAGGUGGCGAGCGUUAUCCGGAUUUAUUGGGUGUAAAGGGCGUGUAGGCGGGACAGCAAGUCAGAUGUGAAGACCAGAGGCUCAACCUCUGGCCUGCAUUUGAAACUGUUGUUCUUGAGUGUCGGAGAGGUAAUCGGAAUUCCGUGUGUAGCGGUGAAAUGCGUAGAUAUACGGAGGAACACCAGUGGCGAAGGCGGAUUACUGGACGAUAACUGACGCUGAGGCGCGAAAGCGUGGGGAGCAAACAGGAUUAGAAACCCCUGUAGUCC
Molecule: ribosomal RNA, 428 nt
Filed under: uncultured bacterium
Lineage: Bacteria
Description: partial 16S ribosomal RNA
Rfam family: Bacterial small subunit ribosomal RNA
Source: RNAcentral